Molecule: ribosomal RNA, 252 nt
Filed under: uncultured bacterium
Lineage: Bacteria
Description: partial 16S ribosomal RNA
Rfam family: Bacterial small subunit ribosomal RNA
Source: RNAcentral
GACGUAGGGCGCGAGCGUUGUCCGGAUUAUUGGGCGUAAAGAGCUCGUAGGCGGCUUGUCGCGUCGUCCGUGAAAACCCACAGCUCAACUGUGGGCUUGCGGUCGAUACGGGCAGGCUAGAGUUCGGUAGGGGAGACUGGAAUUCCUGGUGUAGCGGUGAAAUGCGCAGAUAUCAGGAGGAACACCAGUGGCGAAGGCGGCUUGCUGGGCCGGACCUGACGCUGAGACACGAAAGCGUGGGGAUCAAACAGG